CACAGGAAACACAAGGUAUCAGGAAGGGUAUACCCAGGGCAGGAUACCAUUCCAUCACAGGAAACACAAGGUAUCAGGAAGGGUAUACCCAGGGCAGGAUACCAUUCCAUCACAGGGAACACAAGGUAUCAGGAAGGGUAUACCCAGGACAGGAUACCAGUCCAUCACAGGAAACACAAGGUAUCAGGAAGGGUAUACCCAGGACAGGAUACCAGUCCAUCACAGGAAACACAAGGUAUCAGGAAGGGUAUACCCAGGGCAGGAUACCAUUCCAUCACAGGAAACACAAGGUAUCAGGAAGGGUAUACCCAGGGCAGGAUACCAGUCCAUCACAGGGAACACAAGGUAUCAGGAAGGGUAUACCCAGGGCAGGAUACCAGUCCAUCACAGGGAACACAAGGUAUCAGGAAGGGUAUACCCAGGGCAGGAUACCAGUCCAUCACAAGGAGCACAAGGUAUCAGGAAGGGUAUACCCAGGGCAGGAUACCAUUCCAUUACAGGGAACACAAGUUAUCAGGAAGGGUA
This is a long non-coding RNA of Brienomyrus brachyistius, 525 nucleotides long. RefSeq lists it as uncharacterized. The record is from RefSeq and is a predicted model, not a curated record. The transcript has 5 exons. NCBI's taxonomy places the organism in Eukaryota, Metazoa, Chordata, Actinopteri, Osteoglossiformes, Mormyridae.